RNAcentral lists this ribosomal RNA (211 nucleotides) under Streptococcus sp. F0441. Its description in RNAcentral is "partial 16S ribosomal RNA". It matches the Rfam family "Bacterial small subunit ribosomal RNA", at positions 8 to 213 of the family's 1533-position model. The record is from RNAcentral. Lineage: Bacteria; Bacillati; Bacillota; Bacilli; Lactobacillales; Streptococcaceae.
AGAGUUUGAUCCUGGCUCAGGACGAACGCUGGCGGCGUGCCUAAUACAUGCAAGUAGAACGCUGAAGCUUGGUGCUUGCACCGAGCGGAUGAGUUGCGAACGGGUGAGUAACGCGUAGGUAACCUGCCUGGUAGCGGGGGAUAACUAUUGGAAACGAUAGCUAAUACCGCAUAAAAUGGAUUAUCGCAUGAUAAUCCAUUGAAAGGUGCAA